This 548-nucleotide ribosomal RNA is filed under the name Syngnathus rostellatus (Nilsson's pipefish). Its description in RNAcentral is "partial 16S ribosomal RNA". It matches the Rfam family "Bacterial large subunit ribosomal RNA", at positions 1845 to 2596 of the family's 2925-position model. Lineage: Eukaryota; Metazoa; Chordata; Actinopteri; Syngnathiformes; Syngnathidae. The record is from RNAcentral.
AUAAGAGGUCCCGCCUGCCCUGUGACCAUGUGUUCAACGGCCGCGGUAUUUUGACCGUGCAAAGGUAGCGCAAUCACUUGUCUUUUAAAUAAAGACCUGUAUGAAUGGCAUAACGAGGGCUUGACUGUCUCCUUUACCUAGUCAAUGAAAUUGAUCUCCCCGUGCAGAAGCGGGGAUAUUACUAUAAGACGAGAAGACCCUGUGGAGCUUAAGACAAUAGGAGGACUUUAUGUAGUAAACCUAAAAAGGGCAUAAACAAGUUCACACUCCCCCCAAUGUCUUCGGUUGGGGCGACCGCGGAGUAAAGAAUAACCUCCACAAGGACUAGGGUUUUAACCUUAAAUCCCAGAACGACAGUUCAAAGAAGCAAAAAUUUUGACCUAAGGAUCCGGCACAGCCGAUCAAUGGACCAAGUUACCCCAGGGAUAACAGCGCAAUCCCCUUCAAGAGUCCCUAUCGACAAGGGGGUUUACGACCUCGAUGUUGGAUCAGGGUAUCCUAAUGGUGUAGCCGCUAUUAAGGGUUCGUUUGUUCAACGAUUAAAACCC